This 468-nucleotide ribosomal RNA is filed under the name uncultured bacterium. Its description in RNAcentral is "partial 16S ribosomal RNA". It matches the Rfam family "Bacterial small subunit ribosomal RNA", at positions 28 to 507 of the family's 1533-position model. The record is from RNAcentral.
GACGAACGCUGGCGGCGUGCUUAACACAUGCCAGUCGAACGGAAAGGCCCUGCUUUUGUGCGGUGCUCGAGGGGCGACCGGGUGACUAACACGUGAGUACCCUGUCCCUGACUUUGGGAUAACUUCAGGAAACUGGGGCUAAUACCGGAUAGGAUCUCCUGCUGCUUGGUGGGGGUUGGAAAGUUUCGCCGGUUGGUGAUGGACUGGCGGCUCAACAGCUUGUUGGUGGGGUUGUGGCAUACCAAGGCUUUGCCGGGUAGACGGCCUGAGAGGGUGACAGGACACAUCGGGACUGGGAUGCGACACAGACUACAACGGGAGGCAGCGGUGGAGAAUGUUGCACAAUGGGAGGAAGCAAGGUGCAGCAACGCCGCGUGGGGGAAGACGGCCUGCGGGUUGUAAACCGCUUUCGCUUGUGACGAAGCGUGAGUGACGGUAAUGGGUAAAGAAGCACCGGCUAACUACGUG